UACGUAGGGGGCAAGCGUUGUCCGGAUUUAUUGGGCGUAAAGAGCGUGUAGGCGGCCAGAUAGGUCCGUUGUGAAAACUCGAGGCUCAACCUCGAGACGCCGAUGGAAACCAUUUGGCUAGAGUCCGGAAGAGGCGAGUGGAACUCCUGGUGUAGCGGUGGAAUGCGCAGAUAUCAGGAAGAACACCAACGGCGAAGGCAGCUCGCUGGGACGGUACUGACGCUGAGACGCGAAAGCGUGGGGAGCGAACAGG
RNAcentral lists this ribosomal RNA (253 nucleotides) under uncultured bacterium. RNAcentral's name for it is "partial 16S ribosomal RNA". It matches the Rfam family "Bacterial small subunit ribosomal RNA", at positions 524 to 776 of the family's 1533-position model. The record is from RNAcentral.